ACACCACGGAUGGUGACCCCAAAAGUCCAAACAGCGCCAGAUCCUCCGAUCUAUCUGAAACUUUCGACUGGUGGUUCAAUAAGCCCCAGCGUAACUCUAAAAAGAGCAGAUCGUCUCCAGUGAGUAGUUGUUGUGGCAGUAGUAGCCAGGGGCGAUCCAGUCCGGAUACGGAUAAUCCAGAGCCGCCAGAGUUUCCGCUGAGUCCAGGUUAGCAUGCCGCCAGGGUGUUUCGACCAUGUUCGUACACCUAUUGCCUUGACAUUGACAUGACACAUGUAAAUAAAAGUUAAUGCUCUUCCCUUUGA
Drosophila miranda is the source of this 305-nucleotide long non-coding RNA. RefSeq lists it as uncharacterized. Lineage: Eukaryota; Metazoa; Arthropoda; Insecta; Diptera; Drosophilidae. The transcript has 2 exons. The record is from RefSeq and is a predicted model, not a curated record.